CACAAACAAUAUGCGUAUUUAUUUUGUCUAACGGUGGACAGGUGACCGGCGGUUGGAAGGGAAGAUGGAGGUGGCCAAAGUGGCAGGCCUGGUUACGUCGACCUCCAUCACUUUGGACAGCAGCUGACGCGGCCAACAUAGUCUCGGGUUUCCAUACUUCGAUUCAGUCGCGUAACCAGAGAUAAUACCUCAACAUAAUUUUAAUUCCUCAGGUAUUGUACUUCUCACAUAUCAGUCGUUGAAAUUCGUGAUUCAUGAGCGAUACUGUAAAAACAGUGACACAUCUUGAAAGUUUAAUAACGUGUUUUUACAUCAGUGUAUGACACAGUACUUUCAGUUGAGUUCGCAACGGAGUGUUGGGCAGUGAGGAAGUGUGUGUGUGAGCUACAGAGAUCCUCUGUCACUUGCGAAAUUCCACCUGGACAGCAUUGUUCAAUUCCGACGCCUUGCGUUGGCGUGUGUCGACCGUAGUCCAGCGAGAUCAGAACAGAAAAACAAGGAAUACAGUCUCCUACUGUGGUCCACUGAAAGAACAUAAGCCCGCCAUCAGAAGCCAAAGGCAUGGGCGAGUUUCCUCGACAUCUUCACGGAAGACAAGCGAUGUUCUUCGUGAACUAGUCUGGGACGAUCUGCCUCUUCCUCCAAAGAGACCAGACUUGUCGCCAUGUGACUUUCAUUUGUUUCGACCCUUUUGGAGCACCUGGGAGGAUAAUGGUUCAAAACCAACAAAGUGGCGUGAUUUGGUUGCGCAGUCACCAAAAGAGUUGUUCGCUGCUGGAAUCAGGAAGUUACCCGAAAGUGGACCAGUUGUAUUGUGAAGCACAGGCAAUGUAAAAAGCGUGAACGCUGACGUCUGGAAAAAUAAAAGUCCGGGUCAAAUUUGAA
Long non-coding RNA from Zootermopsis nevadensis, 885 nucleotides. RefSeq lists it as uncharacterized. The record is from RefSeq and is a predicted model, not a curated record. Lineage: Eukaryota; Metazoa; Arthropoda; Insecta; Blattodea; Termopsidae.